CUUGCUCCUUGGAUCAGUGGCGAACGGGUGAGUAACACGUGAGCAAUCUGCCCUUGACUCUGGGAUAACUGCGGGAAACUGUAGCUAAUACCGGAUACGACCUGAAGAGGCAUCUUUUUGGGUGGAAAGAAUUUUGGUCAGGGAUGAGCUCGCGGCCUAUCAGCUUGUUGGUGAGGUAAUGGCUCACCAAGGCGACGACGGGUAGCCGGCCUGAGAGGGUGACCGGCCACACUGGGACUGAGACACGGCCCAGACUCCUACGGGAGGCAGCAGUGGGGAAUAUUGCACAAUGGGCGCAAGCCUGAUGCGGCAACGCCGCGUGAGGGACGACGGCCUUCGGGUUGUAAACCUCUUUUAGUAGGGAAGAAGCGUAAAAGUGACGGUACCUGCAGAAAAAGCACCGGCUAACUACGUGCCAGCAGCCGCGGUAAUACGUAGGGUGCAAGCGUUGUCCGGAAUUAUUGGGCGUAAAGAGCUCGUAGGCGGUUUGUCGCGUCUGCUGUGAAAACCCGAGGCUCAACCUCGGGCCUGCAGUGGGUACGGGCAGACUAGAGUGCGGUAGGGGAGAUUGGAAUUCCUGGUGUAGCGGUGGAAUGCGCAGAUAUCAGGAGGAACACCAAUGGCGAAGGCAGAUCUCUGGGCCGUAACUGACGCUGAGGAGCGAAAGCAUGGGGAGCGAACAGGAUUAGAUACCCUGGUAGUCCAUGCCGUAAACGUUGGGAA
This 723-nucleotide ribosomal RNA is filed under the name uncultured Actinomycetes bacterium. Its description in RNAcentral is "bacterial SSU rRNA". It matches the Rfam family "Bacterial small subunit ribosomal RNA", at positions 79 to 815 of the family's 1533-position model. The record is from RNAcentral. Lineage: Bacteria; Bacillati; Actinomycetota; Actinomycetes.